This 735-nucleotide ribosomal RNA is filed under the name uncultured Fusobacterium sp. RNAcentral describes it as "bacterial SSU rRNA". It matches the Rfam family "Bacterial small subunit ribosomal RNA", at positions 28 to 776 of the family's 1533-position model. Lineage: Bacteria; Fusobacteriati; Fusobacteriota; Fusobacteriia; Fusobacteriales; Fusobacteriaceae. The record is from RNAcentral.
GAUGAACGCUGACAGAAUGCUUAACACAUGCAAGUCAACUUGAAUUUGGGUUUUUAACUUAGAUUUGGGUGGCGGACGGGUGAGUAACGCGUAAAGAACUUGCCUCACAGCUAGGGACAACAUUUAGAAAUGAAUGCUAAUACCUGAUAUUAUGAUUUUAAGGCAUCUUAGAAUUAUGAAAGCUAUAAGCACUGUGAGAGAGCUUUGCGUCCCAUUAGCUAGUUGGAGAGGUAACAGCUCACCAAGGCGAUGAUGGGUAGCCGGCCUGAGAGGGUGAACGGCCACAAGGGGACUGAGACACGGCCCUUACUCCUACGGGAGGCAGCAGUGGGGAAUAUUGGACAAUGGACCGAGAGUCUGAUCCAGCAAUUCUGUGUGCACGAUGAAGUUUUUCGGAAUGUAAAGUGCUUUCAGUUGGGAAGAAAGAAAUGACGGUACCAACAGAAGAAGUGACGGCUAAAUACGUGCCAGCAGCCGCGGUAAUACGUAUGUCACGAGCGUUAUCCGGAUUUAUUGGGCGUAAAGCGCGUCUAGGUGGUUAUGUAAGUCUGAUGUGAAAAUGCAGGGCUCAACUUUGUAUUGCGUUGGAAACUGUAUAACUAGAGUACUGGAGAGGUAAGCGGAACUACAAGUGUAGAGGUGAAAUUCGUAGAUAUUUGUAGGAAUGCCGAUGGGGAAGCCAGCUUACUGGACAGAUACUGACGCUAAAGCGCGAAAGCGUGGGUAGCAAACAGG